RNAcentral lists this transfer RNA (74 nucleotides) under Desulfobacterium sp. 4572_20. RNAcentral describes it as "tRNA-Lys". It matches the Rfam family "tRNA". From Rfam's summary of the family: Transfer RNA (tRNA) molecules are approximately 80 nucleotides in length. Their secondary structure includes four short double-helical elements and three loops (D, anti-codon, and T loops). Further hydrogen bonds mediate the characteristic L-shaped molecular structure. tRNAs have two regions of fundamental functional importance: the anti-codon, which is responsible for specific mRNA codon recognition, and the 3' end, to which the tRNAs corresponding amino acid is attached (by aminoacyl-tRNA synthetases). tRNAs cope with the degeneracy of the genetic code in two manners: having more than one tRNA (with a specific anti-codon) for a particular amino acid; and 'wobble' base-pairing, i.e. permitting non-standard base-pairing at the 3rd anti-codon position. The record is from RNAcentral. RNAcentral also lists the same sequence under 3 other names. Lineage: Bacteria; Pseudomonadati; Thermodesulfobacteriota; Desulfobacteria; Desulfobacterales; Desulfobacteriaceae.
GGGCCGUUAGCUCAGACCGGUAGAGCAGCGGACUUUUAAUCCGUUGGUCGCGCGUUCGAUUCGCGCACGGCCCA